AACGCGAAGAACCUUACCUGGGUUGAACUACAGGAGAAAAGCGGUAGAGAUACCGUGUGCUUCGGCGUUCCUGAUAGGUGUUGCAUGGCUGUCGUCAGCUCGUGUCGUGAGAUGUUGGGUUAAGUCCCGCAACGAGCGCAACCCUUGUCCUAUGUUGCCAGCGGAUAAUGCCGGGGACUCAUAGGAGACUGCCGGGGUCAACUCGGAGGAAGGUGGGGACGACGUCAAGUCAUCAUGGCCCUUAUGCCCAGGGCUGCAAACAUGCUACAAUGGCCGGUACAGAGGGCUGCUAACCCGUGAGGGUGUGCGAAUCCCUUAAAGCCGGUCUCAGUUCGGAUCGUAGUCUGCAACUCGACUGCGUGAAGCCGGAGUCGCUAGUAAUGGCAGAUCAGCAAUGCUGCCGUGAAUACGUUCCCGGGCCUUGUACACACCGAGACGAC
This 440-nucleotide ribosomal RNA is filed under the name uncultured bacterium. Its description in RNAcentral is "bacterial SSU rRNA". It matches the Rfam family "Bacterial small subunit ribosomal RNA", at positions 958 to 1398 of the family's 1533-position model. The record is from RNAcentral.